Molecule: ribosomal RNA, 301 nt
Filed under: uncultured bacterium
Lineage: Bacteria
Description: partial 16S ribosomal RNA
Rfam family: Bacterial small subunit ribosomal RNA
Source: RNAcentral
CAGCCGCCGCGGUAAUACGUAGGUGGCGAGCGUUGUCCGGAAUUAUUGGGCGUAAAGGGAGCGCAGGCGGACAUAUAAGUCCAUCUUAAAAGUGCGGGGCUCAACCCCGUGAGGGGAUGGAAACUGUAUGCCUUGAGUGCAGGAGAGGAAAGCGGAAUUCCCAGUGUAGCGGUGAAAUGCGUAGAUAUUGGGAGGAACACCAGUGGCGAAGGCGGCUUUCUGGACUGUAACUGACGCUGAGGCUCGAAAGCCAGGGGAGCGAACAGGAUUAGAGACCCCCGUAGUCCCUGUCUCUUAUACA